Molecule: ribosomal RNA, 459 nt
Filed under: uncultured bacterium
Lineage: Bacteria
Description: partial 16S ribosomal RNA
Rfam family: Bacterial small subunit ribosomal RNA
Source: RNAcentral
CCUACGGGAGGCAGCAGUGAGGAAUAUUGGUCAAUGGCCGAGAGGCUGAACCAGCCAAGUCGCGUGAGGGAAGAAUGUCCUAUGGAUUGUAAACCUCUUUUGUCAGGGAGCAAAGUCACCCACGCGUGGCGUUCCGAGAGUACCCGAAGAAAAAGCAUCGGCUAACUCCGUGCCAGCAGCCGCGGUAAUACGGAGGAUGCGAGCGUUAUCCGGAUUUAUUGGGUUUAAAGGGUGCGCAGGGGGAAGAGCAAGUCAGCGGUAAAAUUGAGAGGCUCAACCUCUUCGAGCCGUUGAAACUGGUUUUCUUGAGUGAGUGAGAAGUAUGCGGAAUGCGUGGUGUAGCGGUGAAAUGCAUAGAUAUCACGAAGAACUCCGAUUGCGAAGGCAGCAUACCGGCGCUCAACUGACGCUCAUGCACGAAAGUGUGGGUAUCGAACAGGAUUAGAUACCCGUGUAGUC